Non-coding RNA from Vicia faba (fava bean), 312 nucleotides. NCBI's taxonomy places the organism in Eukaryota, Viridiplantae, Streptophyta, Magnoliopsida, Fabales, Fabaceae. The record is from the annotation of a GenBank genome assembly.
GACAAUGAAUACCAGAAGAAGAGAGUUGCAGAAACACGAAUCCUAAACUGUAGAAGCAGAAAAAUGGAUAUUGGAAAAGUAGGUGAGAUCAAAGAGUUCAUAGAAGCAUGCACCUCUUCUUCACACUCCUUCCCUUUCUUUCUUCAAAUCUUACCUUUUCAGUUUGGAUGCCAACAUCAAUCCACAACCCAAAAUGGUACUUCUUCCCUUAUAAUUAUCGAUUUUCACUUCUUUAAUGCACACAUUUACUUACUCAAUACUUGUAUUGUAUGCAGUAAUCUAUUGUUGGUGAUAAAAAUACUCAAUACUUGA